This 90-nucleotide transfer RNA is filed under the name bacterium (Candidatus Howlettbacteria) CG_4_10_14_0_8_um_filter_40_9. RNAcentral describes it as "tRNA-Ser". It matches the Rfam family "tRNA". Rfam says of the family: Transfer RNA (tRNA) molecules are approximately 80 nucleotides in length. Their secondary structure includes four short double-helical elements and three loops (D, anti-codon, and T loops). Further hydrogen bonds mediate the characteristic L-shaped molecular structure. tRNAs have two regions of fundamental functional importance: the anti-codon, which is responsible for specific mRNA codon recognition, and the 3' end, to which the tRNAs corresponding amino acid is attached (by aminoacyl-tRNA synthetases). tRNAs cope with the degeneracy of the genetic code in two manners: having more than one tRNA (with a specific anti-codon) for a particular amino acid; and 'wobble' base-pairing, i.e. permitting non-standard base-pairing at the 3rd anti-codon position. The record is from RNAcentral.
GGUGGGAUCGCAUAGCGGUCUAGUGCGCACGCUUGGAAAGCGUGUAUACCUGAAAGGGUAUCCAGGGUUCGAAUCCCUGUCCCACCGCCA